CAUGCCAGUUAAAUGCCCAUCAGACCUUUAGACAUGCCCAUCAGUGCUCUCAACAUGCCCAGACAUGCCUACCUGAGCUCCCAAAAUGCCCAGACAUGCCCCGAGACUUACCAUCAUCUCAUGCCCAUAUAUGGUCAUCUAUCACAUGGCCUUGAGGCAAUAAAUAUCACCACCCAGGCAGUUUUCUGCCAUGUCUGUUGAGUGCUCCUACUGAGAGGAUUCCAACAGCAGGAGUAGCCAUGAUACCAAACAGGUACAUAGCACCACGCCCAGCACAACCGGUGGUGCGACGCACAACUGAGACAGCGUUGAGGCAGCCUGCCAAAUUGGCAGGCUCUCAUCCAAGCAAGCUGGCGGGCCCUCAACCGGCUAAGCCGCAGGGCCCUAAGCUUACGGGCCCUAGGCAGGAUCAGCCAUCGGCCCCCAGCCAAGCCAAGUCUCCGGCCCCCAGCCAGGCCAAGUCUCCGGACCCCAGCCUGGUCAAGAAGGCGGACCCAAGUCAAGCCAAGAAGGCGGACCCAAGUCAAGCCAAGAAAGCGGGCCCAAGCUCGGCCCAGAAGGCAGACCCAGGUCCGACCCAGAAGGCAGGCCCAAGACCAGCCCAGAAGGUGGUCCCAAGACCAGCUCAGAAGGCGAGCCCAAGCCCAGCCCAGCCGGCAGUCAAAAGUCCAGCCCAGAAGGUGGGCCCAAGCCCAUCAGUGCUCCCAACAUGCCAGUUAAAUGCCUAUCAGACCUUUAGACAUGCCCAUCAGUGCUCUCAACAUGCCCAGACAUGCCUACCUGAGCUCCCAAAAUGCCCAGACAUGCCCUGAGACUUACCAUCAUCUCAUACCCAUAUAUGGUCAUCUAUCACAUGGCCCUGAGGCAAUAAAUAUCACCACCCAGGCAGUUUUCUGCCAUGUCUGUUGAGUGCUCCUACUGAGAGGAUGCCAACAGCAGGAGUAGCCAUGAUACCAAACAGGUACAUAGCACCGUGCCCAGCACAACCGGUGGUGCGGCGCACAACUGAGACAGCGUUGAGGCAGCCUGCCAAAUUGGCAGGCUCUCAUCCAAGCAAGCUUGCGGGCCCUCAACAGGCUAAGCCGCAGGGCCCUAAGCUUACGGGCCCUAGGCGGGAUCAGCCAUCGGCCCCCAGCCAAGCCAAGUCUCCGGCCCCCAGCCAGGCCAAGUUUCCGGCCCCCAGCCGGGCCAAGUCAAGCCAAGAAGGCGGACCCAAGUCAAGCCAAGAAGGCGGACCCAAGUCAAGCCAAGAAGGCGGACCCAAGUCAAGCCAAGAAAGCUGGCCCAAGCUCGGCCCAGAAGGCAGACCCAAGUCCGACCCAGAAGGCAGGCCCAAGACCAGUCCAGAAGGUGGUCCCAAGACCAGCUCAAAAGGCGGGCCCAAGCCCAGCCGGCAGUCAAAAGUCCAGCCCAGAAGGUGGGCCCAAGCCCAUCAGUGCUCCCAACAUGCCAGUUAAAUGCCCAUCAGACCUUUAGACAUGCCCAUCAGUGCUCUCAACAUGCCCAGACAUGCCUACCUGAGCUCCCAAAAUGCCCAGACAUGCCCCGAGACUUACCAUCAUCUCAUGCCCAUAUAUGGUCAUCUAUCACAUGGCCCUGUGGCAAUAAAUUUCACCACCAAGGCAGUUUUCUGCCAUGUCUGUUGAGUGCUCCUACUGAGAGGAUGCCAACAGCAGGAGUAGCCAUGAUACCAAACAGGUACAUAGCACCGCGCCCAGCACAACCGGUGGUGCGGCGCACAACUGAGACAGCGUUGAGGCAGCCUGCCAAAUUGGCAGGCUCUCAUCCAAGCAAGCUGGCGGGCCCUCAACCGGCUAAGCCGCAGGGCCCUAAGCUUACGGGCCCUAGGCAGGAUCAGCCAUCGGCCCCCUGCCAAGCCAAGUCUCCGGCCCCCUGCCAAGCCAAGUCUCCGGCCCCCAGCCAGGCCAUGUCUCCGGCCCCCAGCCGGGCCAAGUCAAGCCAAGAAGGCGGACCCAAGAAGUCAAGCCAAGAAGGCGGACCCAAGUCAAGCCAAGAAAGCGGGCCCAAGCUCGGCCCAGAAGGCAGACCCAGGUCCGACCCAGAAGACAGGCCCAAGACCAGCCUAGAAGGUGGUCCCAAGACCAGCUCAGAAGGCGAGCCCAAGCCCAGCCCAGCCGGCAGUCAAAAGUCCAGCCCAGAAGGUGGGCCCAAGCCCAUCAGUGCUCCCAACAUGCCAGUUAAAUGCCCAUCAGACCUUUAGACAUGCCCAUCAGUGCUCUCAACACGCCCAGACAUGCCUACCUGAGCUCCCAAAAUGCCCAGACAUGCUCCGAGACUUACCAUCAUCUCAUACCCAUAUACUAUCACAUGGCCCUGUGGCAAUAAAUAUCACCACCCAGGCAGUUUUCUGCCAUGUCUGUUGAGUGCUCCUACUGAGAGGAUGCCAACAGCAGGAGUAGCCAUGAUACCAAACAGGUACAUAGCACCGUGCCCAGCACAACCGGUGGUGCGGCGCACAACUGAGACAGCGUUGAGGCAGCCUGCCAAAUUGGCAGGCUCUCAUCCAAGCAAGCUGGCGGGCCCUCAACCGGCUAAUCCGCAGGGCCCUAAGCUUACGGGCCCUAGGCGGGAUCAGCCAUCGGCCCCCAGCCUAGCCAAGUCUCCGGCCCCCUGCCAAGCCAAGUCUCCGGCCCACAGCCAGGCCAUGUCUCCGGCCCCCAGCCGGGCCAAGUCAAGCCAAGAAGGCGGACCCAAGUCAAGCCAAGAAGGCGGACCCAAGUCGAGCCAAGAAAGCGGGCCCAAGCUCGGCCCAGAAGGCAGACCCAGGUCCGACCCAGAAGACAGGCCCAAGACCAGCCCAGAAGGUGGUCCCAAGACCAGCUCAGAAGGCGGGCCCAAGCCCAGCCCAGCCGGCAGUCAAAAGUCCAGCCCAGAAGGUGGGCCCAAGCCCAUCAGUGCUCCCAACAUGCCAGUUAAAUGCCCAUCAGACCUUUAGACAUGCCCAUCAGUGCUCUCAACACGCCCAGACAUGCCUACCUGAGCUCCCAAAAUGCCCAGACAUGCUCUGAGACUUACCAUCAUCUCAUACCCAUAUACUAUCACAUGGCCCUGAGGCAAUAAAUAUCACCACCCAGGCAGUUUUCUGCCAUGUCUGUUGAGUGCUCCUACUGAGAGGAUGCCAACAGCAGGAGUAGCCAUGAUACCAAACAGGUACAUAGCACCGCGCCCAGCACAACCGGUGGUGCGGCGCACAACUGAGACAGCGUUGAGGCAGCCUGCCAAAUUGGCAGGCUCUCAUCCAAGCAAGCUGGCGGGCCCUCAACCGGCUAAUCCGCAGGGCCCUAAGCUUACGGGCCCUAGGAGGGAUCAGCCAUCGGCCCCCAGCCUAGCCAAGUCUCCGGACCCCAGCCAGGCCAAGUCUCCGGCCCCCAGCCGGGCCAAGUCAAGCCAAGAAGGCGGACCCAAGUCAAGCCAAGAAGGCGGACCCAAGUCAAGCCAAGAAAGCUGGCCCAAGCUCGGCCCAGAAGGCAGACCCAGGUCCGACCCAGAAGGCAGGCCCAAGACCAGCCCAGAAGGUGGUCCCAAGACCAGCUCAGAAGGCGGGCCCAAGCCCAGCCGGCAGUCAAAAGUCCAGCCCAGAAGGUGGGCCCAAGCCCAUCAGUGCUCCCAACAUGCCAGUUAAAUGCCCAUCAGACCUUUAGACAUGCCCAUCAGUGCUCUCAACAUGCCCAGACAUGCCUACCUGAGCUCCCAAAAUGCCCAGACAUACCCCGAGACUUACCAUCAUCUCAUGCCCAUAUAUGGUCAUCUAUCACAUGGCCCUGUGGCAAUAAAUUUCACCACCCAGGCAGUUUUCUGCCAUGUCUGUUGAGUGCUCCUACUGAGAGGAUGCCAACAGCAGGAGAAGCCAUGAUACCAAACAGGUACAUAGCACCGCGCCCAGCACAACCGGUGGUGCGUCGCACAACUGAGACAGCGUUGAGGCAGCCUGCCAAAUUGGCAGGCUCUCAUCCAAGCAAGCUGGCGGGCCCUCAACAGGCUAAGCCGCAGGGCCCUAAGCUAACGGGCCCUAGGCGGGAUCAGCCAUCGGUCCCCAGCCAAGCCAAGUCUCCGGCCCCCAGCCAGGCCAAGUCUCCGGCCCCCAGCCAGGCCAAGUCUCCGGCCCCCAGCCGGGCCAAGUCAAGCCAAGAAGGCGGACCCAAGUCAAGCCAAGAAGGCGGACCCAAGUCAAGCCAAGAAAGCUGGCCCAAGCUCGGCCCAGAAGGCAGACCCAGGUCCGACCCAGAAGGCAGGCCCAAGACCAGCCCAGAAGGUGGUCCCAAGACCAGCUCAAAAGGUGGGCCCAAGCCCAGCCGGCAGUCAAAAGUCCAGCCCAGAAGGUGGGCCCAAGCCCAUCAGUGCUCCCAACAUGCCAGUUAAAUGCCCAUCAGACCUUUAGACAUGCCCAUCAGUGCUCUCAACAUGCCCAGACAUGCCUACCUGAGCUCCCAAAAUGCCCAGACAUGCCCCGAGACUUACCAUCAUCUCAUGCCCAUAUAUGGUCAUCUAUCACAUGGCCCUGAGGCAAUAAAUAUCACCACCCAGGCAGUUUUCUGCCAUGUCUGUUGAGUGCUCCUACUGAGAGGAUGCCAACAGCAGGAGUAGCCAUGAUACCAAACAGGUACAUAGCACCGCGCCCAGCACAACCGGUGGUGCGGCGCACAACUGAGACAGCGUUGAGGCAGCCUGCCAAAUUGGCAGGCUCUCAUCCAAGCAAGCUGGCGGGCCCUCAACCGGCUAAGCCGCAGGGCCCUAAGCUUACGGGCCCUAGGCAGGAUCAGCCAUCGGCCCCCUGCCAAGCCAAGUCUCCGGCCCCCUGCCAAGCCAAGUCUCCGGCCCCCAGCCAGGCCAAGUCUCCGGCCCCCAGCCGGGCCAAGUAAAGCCAAGAAGGCGGACCCAAGUCAAGCCAAGAAGGCGGACCCAAGUCAAGCCAAGAAGGCGGACCCAAGUCAAGCCAAGAAAGCGGGCCCAAGCUCGGCCCAGAAGGCAGACCCAGGUCCGACCCAGAAGACAGGCCCAAGACCAGCCCAGAAGGUGGUCCCAAGACCAGCUCAGAAGGCGGGCCCAAGCCCAGCCCAGCCGGCAGUCAAAAGUCCAACCCAGAAGGUGGGCCCAAGCCCAUCAGUGCUCCCAACAUGCCAGUUAAAUGCCCAUCAGACCUUUAGACAUGCCCAUCAGUGCACUCAACAUGCCCAGACAUGCCUACCUGAGCUCCCAAAAUGCCCAGACAUGCCCCGAGACUUACCAUCAUCUCAUGCCCAUAUAUGGUCAUCUAUCACAUGGCCCUGAGGCAAUAAAUAUCACCACCCAGGCAGUUUUCUGCCAUGUCUGUUGAGUGCUCCUACUGAGAGGAUGCCAACAGCAGGAGUAGCCAUGAUACCAAACAGGUACAUAGCACCGCGCCCAGCACAACCGGUGGUGCGGCGCACAACUGAGACAGCGUUGAGGCAGCCUGCCAAAUUGGCAGGCUCUCAUCCAAGCAAGCUGGCAGGCCCUCAACGGCUAAGCCGCAGGGCCUUAAGCUUACGGGCCCUAGGCGGGAUCAGCCAUCGGCCCCCAGCCUAGCCAAGUCUCCGGACCCCAGCUAGGCAAAGUCAAGCCAAGAAGGCGGACCCAAGUCAAGCCAAGAAGGCGGACCCAAGUCAAGCCAAGAAAGCGUGCCCAAGCUCGGCCCAGAAGGCAGACCCAGGUCCGACCCAGAAGGCAGGCCCAAGACCAGCCCAGAAGGUGGUCCCAAGACCAGCUCAGAAGGCGGGCCCAAGCCCAGCCCAGCCGGCAGUCAAAAGUCCAGCCCAGAAGGUGGGCCCAAGCCCAUCAGUGCUCCCAACAUGCCAGUUAAAUGCCCAUCAGACCUUUAGACAUGCCCAUCAGUGCUCUCAACAUGCCCAGACAUGCCUACCUGAGCUCCCAAAAUGCCCAGACAUGCCCCGAGACUUACCAUCAUCUCAUACCCAUAUAUGGUCAUCUAUCACAUGGCCCUGAGGCAAUAAAUAUCACCACCCAGGCAGUUUUCUGCCAUGUCUGUUGAGUGCUCCUACUGAGAGGAUGCCAACAGCAGGAGUAGCCAUGAUACCAAACAGGUGCAUAGCACCGCGCCCAGCACAACCGGUGGUGUGGCGCACAACUGAGACAGCGUUGAAGCAGCCUGCCAAAUUGGCAGGCUCUCAUCCAAGCAAGCUGGCGGGCCCUCAACCGGCUAAGCCGCAGGGCCCUAAGCUUACGGGCCCUUGGCGGGAUCAGCCAUCGGCCCCCAGCCUAGCCAAGUCUCCGGACCCCAGCCAGGCCAAGUCUCCGGCCCCCAGCCAGGCCAAGUCAAGCCAAGAAGGCGGACCCAAGUCAAGCCAAGAAGGCGGACCCAAGUCAAGCCAAGAAAGCGGGCCCAAGCUCGGCCCUGAAGGCAGACCCAGGUCCGACCCAGAAGGCAGGCCCAAGACCAGCCCAGAAGGUGGUCCCAAGACCAGCUCAGAAGGCGGGCCCAAGCCCAGCCGGCAGUCAAAAGUCCAGCCCAGAAGGUGGGCCCAAGCCCAUCAGUGCUCCCAACAUGCCAGUUAAAUGCCCAUCAGACCUUUAUACAUGCCCAUCAGUGCUCUCAACAUGCCCAGACAUGCCUACCUGAGCUCCCAAAAUGCCCAGACAUGCCCCGAGACUUACCAUCAUCUCAUGCCCAUAUAUGGUCAUCUAUCGCAUGGCCCUGAGGCAAUAAAUAUCACCACCCAGGCAGUUUUCUGCCAUGUCUGUUGAGUGCUCCUACUGAGAGGAUGCCAACAGCAGGAGUAGCCAUGAUACCAAACAGGUACAUAGCACCGCGCCCAGCACAACCGGUGGUGCGGCGCACAACUGAGACAGCGUUGAGGCAGCCUGCCAAAUUGGCAGGCUCUCAUCCAAGCAAGCUGGCGGGCCCUCAACCGGCUAAGCCACAGGGCCCUAAACUUACGGGCCCUAGGCGGGAUCAGCCAUCGGCCCCUAGCCAAGCCAAGUCUCCGGCCCCCAGCCAGGCCAAGUCUCCGGACCCCAGCCGGGCCAAGUCAAGCCAAGAAGGCGGACCCAAGUCAAGCCAAGAAGGCGGACCCAAGUCAAGCCAAGAAGGCGGACCCAAGUCAAGCCAAGAAAGCUGGCCCAAGCUCGGCCCAGAAGGCAGACCCAGGUCCGACCCAGAAGGCAGGCCCAAGACCAGCCCAGAAGGUGGUCCCAAGACCAGCUCAGAAGGCGGGCCCAAGCCCAGCCGGCAGUCAAAAGUCCAGCCCAGAAGGUGGGCCCAAGCCCAUCAGUGCUCCCAACAUGCCAGUUAAAUGCCCAUCAGACCUUUAGACAUGCCCAUCAGUGCUCUCAACACGCCCAGACAUGCCUACCUGAGCUCCCAAAAUGCCCAGACAUGCUCCGAGACUUACCAUCAUCUCAUACCCAUAUAUGGUCAUCUAUCACAUGGCCCUGAGGCAGUAAAUAUCACCACCCAGGCAGUUUUCUGCCAUGUCUGUUGAGUGCUCCUACUGAGAGGAUGCCAACAGCAGGAGUAGCCAUGAUACCAAACAGGUACAUAGCACCGCGCCCAGCACAACCGGUGGUGCGGCGCACAACUGAGACAGCGUUGAGGCAGCCUGCCAAAUUGGCAGGCUCUCAUCCAAGCAAGCUGGCGGGCCCUCAACCGGCUAAUCCGCAGGGCCCUAAGUUUACGGGCCCUAGGCGGGAUCAGCCAUCGGCCCCCAGCGUAGCCAAGUCUCCGGACCCCAGCCAGGCCAAGUCUCCGGCCCCCAGCCGGGCCAAGUCAAGCCAAGAAGGGGGACCCAAGUCAAGUCAAGAAGGCGGACCCAAGUCAAGCCAAGAAAGCAUGCCCAAACUCGGCCCAGAAGGCAGACCCAGGUCCGACCCAGAAGGCAGGCCCAAGACCAGCCCAGAAGGUGGUCCCAAGACCAGCUCAGAAGGCGGGCCCAAGCCCAGCCCAGCCGGCAGUCAAAAGUCCAGCCCAGAAGGUGGGCCCAAGCCCAUCAGUGCUCCCAACAUGCCAGUUAAAUGCCCAUCAGACCUUUAGACAUGCCCAUCAGUGCACUCAACAUGCCCAGACAUGCCUACCUGAGCUCCCAAAAUGCCCAGACAUGCCCCGAGACUUACCAUCAUCUCAUGCCCAUAUAUGGUCAUCUAUCACAUGGCCCUGAGGCAAUAAAUAUCACCACCCAGGCAGUUUUCUGCCAUGUCUGUUGAGUGCUCCUACUGAGAGGAUGCCAACAGCAGGAGUAGCCAUGAUACCAAACAGGUACAUAGCACCACGCCCAGCACAACCGGUGGUGCGGCGCACAACUGAGACAGCAUUGAGGUAGCCUGCCAAAUUGGCAGGCUCUCAUCCAAGCAAGCUGGCGGGCCCUCAACCGGCUAAGCCGCAGGGCCCUAAGCUUACGGGCCCUAGGCGGGAUCAGCCAUCGGCCCCCAGCCAAGCCAUGUCUCCGGCCCCCAGCCAGGCCAAGUCUACGGCCCCCAGCCGGGCCAAGUCAAGACAAGAAGACGGACCCAAGUCAAGCCAAGAAGGCGGACCCAAGUCAAGCCAAGAAGGCGGACCCAAGUCAAGCCAAGAAAGCGUGCCCAAGCUCGGCCCAGAAGGCAGACCCAGGUCCGACCCAGAAGGCAGGCCCAAGACCAGCCCAGAAGGUGGUCCCAAGACCAGCUCAGAAGGCGGGCCCAAGCCCAGCCCAGCCGGCAGUCAAAAGUCCAGCCCAGAAGGUGGGCCCAAGCCCAUCAGUGCUCCCAACAUGCCAGUUAAAUGCCCAUCAGACCUUUAGACAUGCCCAUCAGUGCUCUCAACAUGCCCAGACAUGCCUACCUGAGCUCCCAAAAUGCCCAGACAUCCCCCGAGACUUACCAUCACCUCAUGCCCAUAUAUGGUCAUCUAUCACAUGGCCCUGAGGCAAUAAAUAUCAUCACCCAGGCAGUUUUCUGCCAUGUCUGUUGAGUGCUCCUACUGAGAGGAUGCCAACAGCAGGAGUAGCCAUGAUACCAAACAGGUACAUAGCACCGCGCCCAGCACAACCGGUGGCGCGGCGCACAACUGAGACAGCGUUGAGGCAGCCUGCCAAAUUGGCAGGCUCUCAUCCAAGCAAGCUGGCGGGCCCUCAACCGGCUAAGCCGCAGGGCCCUAAGCUUACGGGCACUAGGCGGGAUCAGCCAUCGGCCCCCAGCCAAGCCAAGUCUCCGGCCCCCAGCCAGGCCAAGUCUCCGGCCCCCAGCCGGGCCAAGUCAAGCCAAGAAGGCGGACCCAAGUCAAGCCAAGAAGGCGGACCCAAGUCAAGCCAAGAAAGCGGGCCCAAUCUCGGCCCAGAAGGCAGACCCAGGUCCGACCCAGAAGGCAGGCCCAAGACCAGCCCAGAAGGUGGUCCCAAGACCAGCUCAGAAGGCGGGCCAAAGCCCAGCCGGCAGUCAAAAGUCCAGCCCAGAAGGUGGGCCCAAGCCCAUCAGUGCUCCCAACAUGCCAGUUAAAUGCCCAUCAGACCUUUAGACAUGCCCAUCAGUGCUCUCAACAUGCCCAGACAUGCCUACCUGAGCUCCCAAAAUGCCCAGACAUGCCCCGAGACUUACCAUCAUCUCAUGCCCAUAUAUGGUCAUCUAUCACAUGGCCCUGAGGCAAUAAAUAUCACCACCCAGGCAGUUUUCUGCCAUGUCUGUUGAGUGCUCCUACUGAGAGGAUGCCAACAGCAGGAGUAGCCAUGAUACUAAACAGGUACAGAGCACCGCGCCCAGCACAACCGGUGGUGUGGCGCACAACUGAGACAGCGCUGAGGCAGCCUGCCAAAUUGGCAGGCUCAAGCAAGCUGGCGGGCCCUCAACCGCUAAGCCGCAGGGCCCUAAGCUUACGGGCCCUAGGCAGGAUCAGCCAUCGGCCCCCAUCCAAGCCAAGUCUCCGGCCCCCAGCCAGGCCAAGUCUCCGGCCCCCAGCCGGGCCAAGUCAAGCCAAGAAGGCGGACCCAAGUCAAGCCAAGAAGGCGGACCCAAGUCAAGCCAAGAAAGCGGGCCCAAGCUCGGCCCAGAAGGCAGACCCAGGUCCGACCCAGAAGGCAGGCCCAAGACCAGCCCAGAAGGUGGUCCCAAGACCAGCUCAGAAGGCGGGCCCAAGCCCAGCCCAGCCGGCAGUCAAAAGUCCAGCCCAGAAGGUGGGCCCAAGCCCAUCAGUGCUCCCAACAUGCCAGUUAAAUGCCUAUCAGACCUUUAGACAUGCCCAUCAGUGCUCUCACCAUGCCCAGACAUGCCUACCUGAGCUCCCAAAAUGCCCAGACAUGCCCCGAGACUUACCAUCAUCUCAUACCCAUAUAUGGUCAUCUAUCACAUGGCCCUGAGGCAAUAAAUAUCACCACCCAGGCAGUUUUCUGCCAUGUCUGUUGAGUGCUCCUACUGAGAGGAUGCCAACAGCAGGAGUAGCCAUGAUACCAAACAGGUACAUAGCACCGCGCCCAGCACAACCGGUGGUGCGGCGCACAACUGAGACAGCGUUGAGGCAGCCUGCCAAAUUGGCAGGCUCUCAUCCAAGCAAGCUGGCGGGCCCUCAACCGGCUAAGCCGCAGGGCCCUAAGCUUACGGGCCCUAGGCGGGAUCAGCCAUCGGCCCCCAGCCUAGCCAAGUCUCCGGACCCCAGCCAGGCCAAGUCUCCGGCCCCCAGCCGGGCCAAGUCAAGCUAAGAAGGCGGACCCAAGUCAAGCCAAGAAAGCGGGCCCAAUCUCGGCCCAGAAGGCAGACCCAGGUCCGACCCAGAAGGCAGGCCCAAGACCAGCCCAGAAGGUGGUCCCAAGACCAGCUCAGAAGGCGGGCCCAAGCCCAGCCGGCAGUCAAAAGUCCAGCCCAGAAGGUGGGCCCAAGCCCAUCAGUGCUCCCAACAUGCCAGUUAAAUGCCCAUCAGACCUUUAGACAUGCCCAUCAGUGCUCUCAACAUGCCCAGACAUGCCUACCUGAGCUCCCAAAAUGCCCAGACAUGCCCCGAGACUUACCAUCAUCUCAUGCC
Molecule: long non-coding RNA, 10975 nt
Organism: Pseudophryne corroboree (corroboree frog)
Lineage: Eukaryota; Metazoa; Chordata; Amphibia; Anura; Myobatrachidae
Exons: 2
Source: RefSeq, a predicted model, not a curated record